This 212-nucleotide small nucleolar RNA is filed under the name Sorex araneus (European shrew). Its description in RNAcentral is "Small nucleolar RNA U3 (ENSSARG00000016545.1)". It matches the Rfam family "Small nucleolar RNA U3". Rfam says of the family: Small nucleolar RNAs (snoRNAs) are involved in the processing and modification of rRNA in the nucleolus. There are two main classes of snoRNAs: the box C/D class, and the box H/ACA class. U3 snoRNA is a member of the box C/D class. The record is from RNAcentral. Lineage: Eukaryota; Metazoa; Chordata; Mammalia; Eulipotyphla; Soricidae.
AAGAUUAUACUUUCAGGGGUCAUUGCUAUAGUUCUUUACUAUAGAAGUUUCUCUGAUCCUGUAGAGCACCCAAAACAUGAGGAGAAGCCAGAGCAUCCUCUCCUGAACAUGAAGCUGGUUCUAAGUGUUGCUUGUGCAACUGCCUUUUAUAAUUGAUGAUGGUUCUUCUCCUCCUUUGUAAGAGGGAAAGGGGAAGGAAGCUGUCUGAGUGG